This 477-nucleotide ribosomal RNA is filed under the name Streptococcus sp. oral taxon 064. Its description in RNAcentral is "bacterial SSU rRNA". It matches the Rfam family "Bacterial small subunit ribosomal RNA", at positions 28 to 491 of the family's 1533-position model. The record is from RNAcentral. Lineage: Bacteria; Bacillati; Bacillota; Bacilli; Lactobacillales; Streptococcaceae.
GACGAACGCUGGCGGCGUGCCUAAUACAUGCAAGUAGAACGCUGAAGGAGGAGCUUGCUCUUCUGGAUGAGUUGCGAACGGGUGAGUAACGCGUAGGUAACCUGCCUGGUAGCGGGGGAUAACUAUUGGAAACGAUAGCUAAUACCGCAUAAUAGUAGAUGUUGCAUGACAUUUGCUUAAAAGGUGCAAUUGCAUCACUACCAGAUGGACCUGCGUUGUAUUAGCUAGUUGGUGAGGUAACGGCUCACCAAGGCAACGAUACAUAGCCGACCUGAGAGGGUGAUCGGCCACACUGGGACUGAGACACGGCCCAGACUUCUACGGGAGGCAGCAGUAGGGAAUCUUCGGCAAUGGACGGAAGUCUGACCGAGCAACGCCGCGUGAGUGAAGAAGGUUUUCGGAUCGUAAAGCUCUGUUGUAAGAGAAGAACGAGUGUGAGAGUGGAAAGUUCACACUGUGACGUAUCUACCAGAAAGG